This 131-nucleotide small nucleolar RNA is filed under the name Caenorhabditis brenneri. Its description in RNAcentral is "snoRNA CBN33507". It matches the Rfam family "Caenorhabditis snoRNA ceN80". Lineage: Eukaryota; Metazoa; Nematoda; Chromadorea; Rhabditida; Rhabditidae. The record is from Rfam by way of RNAcentral.
AAGCAUUGAAAAGGGACGGUUUUUCUAAUUAGAACAUUCCGUAUAAUUUUGGUGCAAUAGCAUAGAGAGCCGCAGUGUUACUCUUCUUUACAAAUCCUGUAUCUGGAGAGUGUCAAGCGGUUCCCACAAUC